GGAGCUUAUCUAUAAAACGGUCCGUGGCGACCAAGCUAAUAGAAAGGCAGCGAGGUCGUUGAUAUUAAACAGCUUUCUCUCGUUUUAGUCUUUCGCCAAUCAAACCCUUAAAUCUAGGGUUCUCUCGAAUAUACCUCUUUCUUCCUUCCACUCUUUUCUCUCUUUUCAAGCUUGUUUUUUAAUUUCAAAUAUCUGUCUAUUUUUCUAUUCUUUCCAGGCAUCUCUUCCUCAAUCUCAGAUUCUUAGGCACUAGUUUGAGUUUUGCUAUGACGAUCGCUGAUUCGGGGUGUUUGAUGGAGAAUGGGGGCAGUUGCUUGCCGUGCACGCCUGAGGAAGAGAGAAAGAUCGUCAAGGACUUGAUGGAUGAAGCUGAGCUUGAUUUGAAAGAAGGCAACUUGUACUACAUCGUUUCCGCUAGGUGGUUUGCAAGAUGGGAGAGCUACGUUGGCCACAGCAGUGAUGACCACUUGGUUGAUAUGCAGUCUUCUGAUUCUCAAGAUUUGGCUGUUGUUCCUAUGAGUAUACCUGAUAGACCUGGCCAAAUAAAUAACUCUGAUAUAGUUGAAAAUCGAAGUGAUGGUGAGGGUGAUGAUCUAGAGCUUGCAAGAACAUUGUUGGAAGGGAGGGACUAUGUUUUAGUUCCUCAAAAAGUUUGGGAAAAGCUUGUUCAGUGGUACAAGGGAGGACCAGCAUUGCCAAGAAAGAUGAUUUCACAGGGUGUUUUUAACAAAAAGCAGUUCAAUGUGGAGGUUUAUCCUCUUCGUCUCAAGUUAAUUGAUUCCAGAGAUGCGUAUGAAUUCACUAUCAGGUUAAGCAGAAAGGCUUCUCUUCAUGAGCUUUAUGAGAGGGUGUGUGCUCUUAGAGGAACAGAGAGAGAAAAGAUCAUUAUAUGGGACUACUUUAAUAAGCACAAGCAAUCACUGCUGGUUGAUUCAAAUCAUACCCUGGAGGAAUCAAACUUGCAGAUGGACCAAGAGGUGUGGUCUAGAGAUGUAUAUACAUUUUGAAAACUGUUUUGUUUUUGGCAUUAAAUAGCUUGACUGAUGAUGAAUCAUUUUGGUUUUAUAUGACAACAGUUAACACCUUCUUGAAUUCACUUUUAAUAAAGAAUGAAAUACUAAAGUUCUCUUAUGAUCUGAAAUUAAUGCCAUGCACACACACACAUGUAUUUAAGGAUUUAUCUGUGAAUUAGUGAUUGGAUAAGGAUGAACUAAGUAGAAAUUUCUAAGUUUCUUGCUAAACUUAAUGCCUCUCUCUCACACUCACAUUGUUGCUUUUGUGCAUGUAAUAAUUGUAGCAACUUUUAGUUUGAACUUCAGUUUCUCAAUAAGCCAAAUCAUAGAACCUCAAUAACAAUCAGUGCAAAAGUAUAACAGAAAAAAAAGUAAUGAAUGGUUAGGAAAGUGCUUUGAAACUCUGGUGAUGAAUAAAAAUAUUAUUAAAAUACAGUCAUCACAAAAUAGUUUUUAUGCAUGUUGGUUUACAAAUUAGAAUAAUAGAGUGAUUUGUCUAGGUGAAAAAUUAAUGCACUCUUGGAACCCUCCAGCUAAAAGUUAGGUGUGAUGCAAAUUUGCAAAGUAGUCAGAUAUUGGUAGCAGUUCAUGAAAUACUGAAUUUUUGUAUGUUGUUAUUAAUUUCUACAAAUUGUUAUAUUUUAAUAUAAAUUUUCUAUCCUGUGUAUGCAUGCAUAAUGCUGUGUGUAUUUGUAUUUGCAACCCACUGGACUUCCCCCUUGCAUUUGAUAAUGAAAAGAUCUCUGGAUUGUAUGUCCGAUCGUUGGUUAUUCAUCAAUGUAGUUGAUGCAUCCUCUUCUCUGCAUAGAUGCUUCUGGAGCUGCAAGUUCAUGAUUCUUAUCCUUCCCAAUCUUCCAAGGAUUCAACAGGAAAUGAGUUGGCUUUGGUAGCCUUGGAACCUUCAAGGACUUCCCUGUCAAUUGCAGGUGGACCAACAUUGUCAAAUGGUCAUUCCAGUACUUAUAGCUUGAACUUAAGGCCAGGAAGUGCUUUAAAUUCAGGAUUCACAGAUAUUGAUGAUGCAUUUGGUGCUUAUAGUGCUGUCAGAAGAGGUGAGAGGGGAGGUUUGGCAGGAUUGCAGAAUAUGGGAAAUACUUGCUUUAUGAACAGUGCUCUUCAAUGCUUGGUCCACACUCCACCACUUGUUGAGUAUUUUUUGCAAGAUUACUCUGAUGAGAUCAACACAGAAAAUCCUUUAGGAAUGCAUUUAGGUCCUACUCUUAUUUGUCUUCAUUUACUGGGCAUCCAUAUGAAAGUUUUGUACUAGACUAUAGCUUUUAUUAUAAGCACUCAACAUUGAAUUGCUAACUUGUAUUGUAGCUGUGUAGGGUGAACUUGCACUCGCUUUUGGUGAGUUGUUGAGGAAACUUUGGUCCUCAGGACGAAAUGCAAUUGCACCACGUGCAUUUAAGGGAAAACUAGCACUAUUUGCUCCACAAUUCAGUGGUUAUAAUCAGCAUGAUUCUCAAGAACUUCUUGCAUUUUUAUUGGAUGGGCUGCAUGAAGAUUUGAAUCGCGUCAAGCAGAAACCAUACAUUGAAAUGAAGGAUUGGUGUGGUCGUCCAGAUAAGGAGGUUGCAGCUGAGUGUUGGAGAAAUCACAAGGCUCGAAAUGAUUCCAUAAUUGUGGAUGUCUGCCAAGGUCAAUACAAGUCAACGCUGGUUUGCCCAGUUUGCAGCAAAAUUUCAAUUACUUUUGAUCCCUUUAUGUAUUUGUCACUGCCACUACCUUCAACUGUCACUCGUUCAAUGACAGUAAUGGUGUUUUAUGGUAAUGGAAGUGGUCUUCCAAUGCCAUACACUGUGACAGUACUGAAAAACGGUAAUUGUAGAGAUCUUAUUCAGGCACUGAGUACAGCAUGCUGUUUGAGAAGUGAUGAAAGUUUUCUGCUGGCAGAAGUCUAUGAUCAUAGGAUUUAUCAUUUAUUUGAAAAUCCUUUGGAAUCAUUGACUUCUAUAAAGGAUGAAGAAUAUAUUGUGGCCUACCGGCUUUCUCAAAAGGGAACAGGAAAAAAGAAGCUGGAAAUUGUUCAUCAGGAAAAGACUGCAACAGACUUUCUGAAGGGUAGUGGAUGGAAGGAUUUUGGAGCACCUCUGCUUGCUCAAUCGGAAGAUGACUCACCAAGUGGAGCUGAUAUUGAGUUGGUUGCUUCUAGACUUCUCUCACCCUUGAGAAGAACAUGCUCAUCUAGUGUGGUUCAUAGUGGCAAGGAAAAUGGUUUUCUUUCAGAAGCUAAUGGCGAACCAUCAAAUAGUUGCAAUGGUCCAUCUGAAUCAGGGGUCCAGUCAAUGGACAACUGCAACACAUCCACCCAGGACUUGUCAUUCCAUCUCUUUUUAACUGAUGACCAGUAUUCAGGCCGCAAGCCUAUUUUUAAGGAUUCUGUCAUAAAAUCUGGAGCUAAUCGUGUAAAAAUUUUCCUAGAUUGGACUGAUAAGGAACUUAAAUUAUAUGAUCCCAGCUAUCUAAAAGAUCUUCCAGUGGUUUAUCAUAGAACUGGGAUUAAUGCGAAGAAAACCCGGCAGGAAGCUGUCUCUUUAUUUUCAUGCCUAGAGGCAUUCCUGACUGAAGAACCUCUAGGGCCUGAUGACAUGUGGCAAGAUUUUUUUUGUUUCCCCUAUUUCUUUUUUAUACAUUUUGUUGAGAACACUGCUGUGAAUACCUUGCAAGUGAUAUUCCACUUUAGUUAUAUUUAUGCCCAUGAGCAUUACUUGAUGUAGGUAUUGUCCUCGUUGUAAAGAACAUAGACAAGCCACCAAGAAGCUGGAUUUGUGGACCUUGCCUGAUAUUCUUGUUUUUCAUUUGAAACGAUUCUCAUACAGCAGAUACUUGAAGAACAAACUGGAUACUUUUUGUGGAUUUCCUCAUUCACAAUCUUGAUUUGAGCAAAUUUGUAAAACGGAAGGAUGGGCGAUCAUAUAUAUAUGAACUAUAUGCUGUCAGCAACCAUUACGGUGGUCUUGGUGGUGGGCACUACACUGCUUUUGCAAAGUUGAUUGAUGAUAAUAGAUGGUACGAUUUUGAUGAUAGCUGUGUUUCUCCUGUUAAUGAGUCCGAUAUCAGGACUUCAGCUGCUUAUGUGUUGUUCUACCGAAGAGUUCAAACUGAAAUGAAGGUGGGACUGGGAGGGACAUCGCAGGGUCAUGCAGGUUCUUGAAGGCCAUGAAUGUUUGCAUCCUACAAUUCUGCGUCUAGGGACUUCAGACCUUUGUUAACCGAAGACUACUAAGCUGACGGUUCUAGCCUUGUCAGCCAACUUUUUCUGAAGAUCUCAAGCCUUGGCAAAGAUAGCGAUGAAUCUGUAAAUGCAUAAAGUUGCUGCAGGUGGAAUGAAGCAUUAGCUAAUAUUUUAUUAAUUCUUUUCUGAGAAUAUCUGGCUUAAUGUUAGGAGCUUAUAGAUCCCUGCUUAAUUACGCUGGGUUUAACCGUCUUCUUGUUACCUUAUUUGCAUAAUCAUUGGAUGAUAAGGUUUAAAUUUAACAUACUUAUGAUUUCUGUAAACUCCGUUUAGGAUAAUUUGUCGGAAGAGUUGUGCAAUUUACUUGGAGGGAUUUAGAUGGUUUUAGACAAAGGACAGGCAUUUAUCUAACAAUCCUCAACUGUAUCAAUAUAUUUGUUUUUUGUACUUGUUACAUGAGGAGAAGCUGAAAGCUUUCCGGAUGCUAAAGAUAAUUUGAAUAUAGUUUUUCUUAUUGGUACUGCAUAUUUUUUUGGUUUUUGGUGUGUUGAGGGGGGUGUUUGGCGGUGAGGGUUGAUCGCUUUAUUUUUCCUGGGUUGUGAAAGUCAAGAGUACUUGAACUAUGGUGAUGAUCAAAAAGGAAUAGAUUAUCAUGGUAAAUAAUGAAAUCUUGUUCCACUAUAAAUGAAAAGGGAGAUACAAAGAGAAUCAAUAAUUCAAUAAUCCAUAGUACGAUCUAUCUUCACUUAUCGCUGAUCUAACGGACUCCCCCUGUGCAAAGCUAUUAUUCUUAAAAAAGAAAAAAUUAAGAUAAUGAAAUAUAUCCCAUGUUGUUAUCCUUUUUUUUACCCUCCCUUCACCCUAAUCCAGGGGCCAGCGAAUCAUCAACAACGCCAACGGCAAAAACAGAUGCCCAAUGACAGUCAUAUGCGUUUGCGUUGCACCAGAAAUAGACAAGUAACCAGUGGAGGAGCUCUCCGGCGCCGUCGGUGGCUGUCCGCUGCCUCUGCUUGAACUCGUGUUACUACUCACGGCAUCAGUUGAGGAGAUUCCUACUGAAUACGCUGGCGUUCCGUCGGGCUUAAAUAGACCGUAGUUUCUCUCAGAUGUAGGUCCAGGCUUCAUGUUCUCGUUAAAUAAAGCGAAAACAUAGAUGUUCAAGUCCGUGGUUGGCCUCAUUGGAGUCCCCUUCUUUUGAGAAAUUAGCUUUAUCAGGUUUCCAUUGUAUUUCUUCGCAUUGUCCAGCGUAGCCCCUGCCUCGUCCGCAUCUCCUUUGGAUGGCCAGCCGGUUUCCGAUAUGUGAAUCGGUAGCUUCUUGUAACCUAAGGAUGAUAAAGCAGAGUAAACGGCGUCGAUCUGAGCGAACAGCAUGUUAUCGUAGUGGAGAUUCGAGGCUGGAUCUACAAUGCCUUGGUUGGGCUGGAAAAGAACGAAAUCUAAACUCACUUGCUUCGGAUUCCCCUUGUAUGCGAAGUAAGGGUAAGCGUUGAUCAAGAAAGGAGAGCCAGUUUUCGCGUGGAAAUUUAAGAUAGGAGUCACACAACCGACCAGAUCUCGCCGGAAAGCUCCGGCCGAUGGAGGAUAAGAGGUCUCGAGAAUGGCUAGAGAGUGAGCCGUGGUCACACUCACCUGCUUGUCUAGUCCAAGAUUCACAAGCGCAGUGUGGACACUUUGCAUUGCAGGAAGGAGGUCAUCGCUGAGAGAGGUGUCGUUGAAAGUUAACACUUCGUUGCCUGCUGUUAUGCAGGUAAUCUUGGUUGCUGGUAAGUAGGCUUGAACAUUGGAUUUGACCCAGGCUUGAGCUUUAUCAGGAUCUCUCAUCUUUGAUAAAUACUCGUUUCCAAGUCCUACGAUGAAUUCCACUCCAGUAUUGGCAAAUGCUCGAAGCACCCUUGGAUCUGCAUCAUAGAGCUUUACUUUAGUGGCACCAAUUGAUUUAACCAGAGGCACUACAUUAUCCGGUGAGGGAAGAUUGUUGGCUAUCUGGCCAUAAUUGAUCCCAAUUGAAUCCACCAUUACAGGAAACAUAAAACCUGAAAUUGAAAGAAUCAAUGAAGCACAGUAAUAUAAUAUUGUGCACUGCAACUCCAUUGUUUUAGUAGAAACUUUGAAACUUGUUGUGAGCUGAAGGGAGAGAGUAUGAAGUAGUGAAUGUAAUGAGAGUUACAGGUUUCUUACUCUCAAUAGUGUUUGUCAAUGUCACAAGCAAACAAACUUUGCAAGCAAUGGAUGGGUCAGAGUUCAGAAAGAGAGUAGAGAGGGUAAGAAAAGUGGGAGAUGGGUUUAUAUAUAUGGAGACGGCGUUUAAAGCCUUAAUGAUACUGUUUACAGGAGAGGUCACUUUUGUGGGUUUUUAAGGGCAAAACAAAGCAGACUGAUUUUGAUGGAUCGUUCAUUUGAUGCUUCGCUAGUUUUUGUGGGGACCGCCAGUCUUCUCCGACGCCAUUCACAUGAUCACCAUUCCCAGUUGAGGAGCUUUUUCCUUUUUUUUUGACAAA
RNAcentral lists this unclassified non-coding RNA (6689 nucleotides) under Hevea brasiliensis (rubber tree). Lineage: Eukaryota; Viridiplantae; Streptophyta; Magnoliopsida; Malpighiales; Euphorbiaceae. The record is from RNAcentral.